AGCUCCAGCCGCAGCCCCUUGAACUUGGGCUCCGAGGGCUCCUUCAGCAAGAAGUCCGAGAACACGUACUCGGUGGCCAGGUAUAACAAGGAUAAUUGCUGAAUAUCUAAAAGACUAUUCUCCUUUAACCAACCCUGCCCUACUUCUAAUGAUCAGGGCUGUCUUUAAAAGGCAUGGAAUCAAGAAUUUUGUGAGAGUUCUUCUCCCUACCAGUCAGCUGCACUGAUGACUUCCUCCUGGUGUUGCUCACAUGUUUCCCUGCUGAGGACAACCAGCUGGUUCACAGAGCAUCCGUGGGGAGUGCACAGGACUGGACUUCCCGGUAUGCGACCUGCUUCCUUG
Long non-coding RNA from Mustela erminea (ermine), 342 nucleotides. RefSeq lists it as uncharacterized. Lineage: Eukaryota; Metazoa; Chordata; Mammalia; Carnivora; Mustelidae. The transcript is spliced from 4 exons. The record is from RefSeq and is a predicted model, not a curated record.